This 253-nucleotide ribosomal RNA is filed under the name uncultured bacterium. RNAcentral's name for it is "partial 16S ribosomal RNA". It matches the Rfam family "Bacterial small subunit ribosomal RNA", at positions 524 to 776 of the family's 1533-position model. The record is from RNAcentral.
UACAGAGGGUGUGAGCGUUAAUCGGAAUUACUGGGCGUAAAGCGCACGUAGGCGGCUUGGUAUGUCGGGUGUGAAAUCCCCGGGCUCAACCUGGGAACUGCAUCCGAAACUGCCUUGCUCGAGUAUGGGAGAGGGAAGUGGAAUUUCCGGUGUAGCGGUGAAAUGCGUAGAUAUCGGAAGGAACAUCAGUGGCGAAGGCGACUUCCUGGACCAAUACUGACGCUCAGGUGCGAAAGCGUGGGGAGCAAACAGG